GGUGACCUCCUGGGAAGUCUUCGUGUUGCACCUUUU
This 36-nucleotide ribosomal RNA is filed under the name Blitum petiolare. The record is from RNAcentral. Lineage: Eukaryota; Viridiplantae; Streptophyta; Magnoliopsida; Caryophyllales; Amaranthaceae.